Molecule: ribosomal RNA, 27 nt
Filed under: Cookeina insititia
Lineage: Eukaryota; Fungi; Ascomycota; Pezizomycetes; Pezizales; Sarcoscyphaceae
Description: partial 25S ribosomal RNA
Source: RNAcentral
ACCUAUUGACCUCGGAUCAGGUAGGGA